AGAACGAACGCUGGCGGCGUGCUUAACACAUGCAAGUCGAACGCGAAAGUACCGCUUCGGUGGUACAAGUAGAGUGGCGCACGGGUGAGUAACGCGUAGGUAAUCUACCCUUAUAUUUGGGAUAACAUACCGAAAGGUCUGCUAAUACCGGAUACGCUUAAAAAUACGCGAGUAUUAUUAAGGAAAGGUAACCACUGAUAUAAGUUAUCGUAUAAGGAUGAGCCUGCGUACCAUUAGCUGGUUGGUGGGGUAACGGCCUACCAAGGCAACGAUGGUUAGCGGGUCUGAGAGGAUGAUCCGCCACACUGGAACUGGAACACGGACCAGACUCCUACGGGAGGCAGCAGUGAGGAAUAUUGCGCAAUGGGGGAAACCCUGACGCAGCGACGCCGCGUGGGUGAUGAAGGCUUUCGGGUCGUAAAGCCCUGUCAAGUGGGAAGAAGUGCAUGUAGGGUAAUACUCUACAUGUUUGACGGUACCACUACAGGAAGCACCGGCUAACUCCGUGCCAGCAGCCGCGGUAAUACGGAGGGUGCGAGCGUUGUUCGGAAUUACUGGGCGUAAAGGGCGCGUAGGCGGCUAUAUAAGUCGGGUGUGAAAGCCCACGGCUCAACCGUGGAA
Molecule: ribosomal RNA, 621 nt
Filed under: uncultured bacterium
Lineage: Bacteria
Description: bacterial SSU rRNA
Rfam family: Bacterial small subunit ribosomal RNA
Source: RNAcentral